RNAcentral lists this long non-coding RNA (7852 nucleotides) under Populus tremula. RNAcentral's name for it is "long non-coding RNA (PTRE_LNC000144)". Lineage: Eukaryota; Viridiplantae; Streptophyta; Magnoliopsida; Malpighiales; Salicaceae. The record is from RNAcentral.
CACCUUAGCGUCAAGCACCAUCUCCCUCUUUGCCACGUCACUGAAAAACUUCACGGAAUGGUUAGCCAUCAGCUCGACACCAUCAAGCCGGGCCGUGAGCUCAAGUAUCUGGCAAGACCUCGAACGCUGAGACCCUGCUUCGACUUGAGCCGAACCGAUGAGAGAGCCGUCGUAGAAGAUCGACAUGAUAGUAGAGGAGUAGUGGAUGGGUAUGAUAUUGGGAUUGGUGACGUGUACGGUGAGUAUCACAUCGGUGUCGAUGACUGGAAAUCUGAGCUUGAAGGAAGUGAAGUUGAUUUUGAUCAAAUGAAAUGUUGGGUCUUUUGGCUUGGCACUGAUUAGAGCCACUGAUGCUGUAGCUGAUGCUGCUCCAACUAAAGCGGCGGUCCAGCUCCAUUUUACCUUUUUGCCCAUGAAUUUUGGAGAUAAUUACUCUCUCCUCCUCCUCCUCUGUUUGCUAGAAAUGAGAAUUGAGAGGUCGGUAGAGGGCUUUGCAGAUAAAUGGAUGGCACUUUCUAUGACCAAUGGUGAAAUUUGGAAAUGACGGAAAUGGGCUUCAUGGUGGUUCUGUGGUCUUUUGCUUUUUUCGAGGAUAUCUUGGUGAUUUCAUGUGUGACAAACCCAAGUGUUUCGGACAGCGGACAGUUUCCUUGUCUGCACAAUUGAAUUUUGGAUUAUGUUCACGCAAUAUUUUUCUAUAAAUAACAUUUUAUGUGUAUAUUUCAUCAUUAAAUUUAGAUUUAUCUUCCCAUUUUUUGUGUGUUUUUAUUUGGAGGAAUUAGGCAAUUACCAUAUAAUUUUUAAAAAAUAGCCUAUGCAAAAAAAUCUUGAUGAAAUAUCAUAUUUUUACUCACGGUUAAGAAUCAAGAUAUACAUAUUAAAUAUUAUAUUUUUAAACCGCGACAACCAAUUAAUAUCAUAUAUAAAAAAAAUAAAAUUUUAAUUAAUUUUAUGAUUUUUAAUCACAAUAUCAAUUAUCUUUUAUUUGAAUGGAGUUAGGUGAAAGCUGUUUGCUUUUAUCCAAUUUAUACCCAAAUUUUUUUUAUCAAAGCUUGGUUAGCAAGUUGUUACAAUGCAACCAUUUGUUGUAUCAACAACAAAGAUCAAGAGUCUAGAACAUAAUUCUUAAAAAUGCAUUUUAACUCGUAAAAUCGUUAAAACCCAUAAAUGUGUAGAAUCAGGGUUAAAACUUAAAAACCAGUAAAAUCGGUCAAACUCGGUCAAACUCGGUCAAACUCGCAUAAAACCGGGUCAACUCGUAAAAAAUGUUAAAAACAUAACGUUUUCACGAGUUCACCAAAAUGUCACCGAAUGCACUAAUGCAGAAAAUUAGAAGUGCAAAAUUAGAUGUAAUUUUAACUUAGCAGUGCACUAGUCUCUUUUCUUUCCCAAUUCCCACCUAACCACCCCCACCCCACCCGUGACUUCGUCCCUGUCUCACACUCUCCCUGACUCCCUUCUCUUUUUCCCUUUCCCCUUUCCCUAGCAAAUUAAGAAAUCACUUUCCCCGAUCCGGAGCGUUCUUAGCGAGAUGAAGGUAAGUAUUAAUUCACAAUCCCAAGCUUUGUUUUUUCUGUCUAAUGGUGGUGAUUAGAGACAAAAAUGAUCCAGGUAUGCUGUGAAUCUAUGUUUAUCUUCUAGGUAUUCUACAAUUAAUUGGUUUGCUUCUAGGUAUUUUUUGGAGGGGGAGUGGUGCUGCACUGUUGCUAGUAAUUUCAUGUGCAGCUUUGUUUAUCUUAUGUGAAGCUUUCUAACAAUAGUUUACUGCUGUGUGUUGUAAUUUCUUUUAAUGUUCAACUAUGCUGUUUGAUCUUGCUUGCUCAAGUGUUGCAGAUUCUAUAAUUCUGCGUACACAACGAAGCAAUAAAGCAACAAAGCAAUGAAGCAUUCCAGGAUUGCACUCUUGUCAAGGUCACUUUCCAUUAUCUUUAAUAAACUUCUUUAUUAUAUGAAAUUUUGAGAGAAAACUGAAACUGAAUGUGAAGGGAAUUUAGGUGUAAUUUAUCUAGGUAUUAUGUAAAUGUGUGUAAUUUCUUGCUUGCUGGUAUUGUGUGUUGUAAUUUCUAGCAUUCCAAGUAUUCUGUAAAUUCAAAAACUACAAACGUUAGGGAAAUUGAUGCACCUGUUUGGAAUGCCUUUUGCAUUUAAUUUAUCUAGGUUUUUUGUGUAUUACUGGAUAGGUAGUCUUGAAAUGCCUUUUGCAGUGCUUCUGUUGUGUUUUUGUGAAUUGUAAAUCAUCAGAUUACAAGUUGUCACCUGCCAUACUUUUGUAGUUGAAAUACUGGUGAACAAAUAUUUCAAUUCUUUGGGCAAUUGGCAUUGUAUUUGGUGGCAGCAGAGCAAUUGAUGCUAAAAGCCUUGCCUGACGUCUUUGUUGUUGUUCUUAGGCAAUGCUAUGAUUGAAAUCACUUAGUUUAAAUCACUUAUUGAUAGAAAUGCAUCAUUUUCUAAGACUUUGGCAAAUUUAGGAUUCCAGAAGCUUAAAAUCCUAAUUACAAUGGCUAUCUGUUUGGCUUGUACAAUUUUCCACAAGUCUUAUUGGUUCCUCCAUAAUUAUAAUCCACGACUUUUAAUUUCUAUGUCCCUUCUUGAUUUACAAUAUGUGCUGAACUGUAGGAUACUAGAAUAGUUGUCUUUUUUUGUCUCACUAGAAUAGUUUCCCAUAAAAAAAUGUAUUGAAUUGUAGGAUACAACAUGCAUAUUUGUAAUUCUUUAUCAAAUGAUUGAACUGCAAGAAAUAAAUGAUUCUUGAACUGUAGGAUACAUGGCAUCUAAAAAAACAACAAGUGGCAAUAAACUUGACGUGGGAUGGCAAUAUGGUAUAGAUGUUGACAAGAAUUCAAGAAAAGUGCAGUGCAAGUUUUGUCAGAAAAUUAUUAUUGGAGGCAUUUACCGUUUCAUGCAUUAUUUGGCUUGCACUCGAAAGGAUGUUAAGCCAUGCCAGCAAGUACUAGAAGAUGUAAAGAAGAUGAUUUUGAAUGUUCUGGUGAAAAAUCAAGAAGCAAUUGAGAAGAAAAGAAAGGCUUUCCAAUAUAUUGGAAAAGAUGAAAAUAAUGAUGAAGGGAAUGAAAAGGAUCUUAGAGAAGAAGCAUGUCGAUAAAUUGUAAGAUUUUUCUACACUAAUGCAAUUCCAUUUAAUUGUGUGAAAAACCCUGAAUUUGUUAAGACACUUAAAUUGGUUGCAAAACAUGGGCUAGGUUUUAAGUCUCCAUCCUACCAUGAUAUUAGAGAGAAGUAUUUGAAGCAAGAAGUAGAUCACACGAUUAACUUGCUUGAUGAGUACAAGUUAGAAUGGAAAAAAACAGGUUGCUCAAUAAUAUCUGAUGGAUGGACUGAUAAGAAAAGACGUUCUAUUUGCAACUUUUUGGUUAAUAGUCCUAAAGGGACAAUUUUUUUUUAUCAUCCGUAGAUACCUCUAAUAUAUUCAAUACUACUGAUAAGGUAUUUGAGAUGUUGGAUGCUAUUGUGGAGAGGAUUGGAGAGGAAAAUGUGGUGCAAGUAGUCACUGAUGAUGCUGCAAAUUAUAAGGCAGCAGGGCAAUUGUUGAUGGGAAAAAGAAAAGGAUUGUUUUGGACACCAUGUGCUGCCCAUUGUAUUGACUUGAUAUUGAAAGAUUUUGAGAAGAAACUAGAGGUCCAUCAAGUAACUAUUGCUAAUGGGAGGAGAAUCACCUCAUACAUAUAUUCAAGAACUGUUCUCAUUUCCAUGCUCAGACACUUUACAAAAAGAAAGGAUUUGAUUAAGCUUGAUGUCAUUAGAUUUGCUACUGCAUACUUAACUCUUGGAUGUUUGAGUGAUUGUAAGAUAUAGUUGAUGACAAUGUUUACUUCCAUCCAAUAGAGGUCAUGUAGGUUUUCAAAAACAGAAGAAGGGAAGCGAAUUCAAAGUUGUGUUUUGGACAACAAGUUUUGGCAUGAUGUUACUACAUGUAUUAAGGUAGCAUAUCCUCUGAUAAAAGUUCUUCGAUUAGUUGAUUCAGAUGAGAAACUAGCUAUGAGUUUUAUAUAUGAAGCAAUGAAUCAAGCAAAAGAGAAGAUACAAGUGAAUUUUGGUUAUGUGAAAAAAAGGUAUUGAUUAUAUAUCUUACUAAUUAUUUAUUUACUACUAUCAGUUGAUUAUAAUUUUUACCAGCUAAGUCAUGUAAUGCAUCAUGCCGUUUCCAUAGCCAGAAUGCUUCAUUUUGUAUGAUGAAUUUUCACUUAAGAAAACAAAAGGUCUGCCCUACUGUUUGAUGUAUGUUUUUUAUUUUUAUUUUUUUUAUGAAGAUUGAAGUUUUAAAUUAACUGAAUUUGAAAUUUUAAGUUCACAAGUUCUAAUUUUGUACUUAAUUCUAUUUCUAGCUAUUAAGUAAUUUAAUUAAAAAAAAAUAAUCAAAUAACUAAACAACUUAAUCGUAAAAUAAACUAAAUUAAAAAUAAUUUAUAUUCUAAUUACAUUCAAGAAUUUAAUUGGAUAUAUAUAUAAACCUUUAUUUUUUAAGUUUUUCUUAAUUAUUCAAUUAUCAUAAUUAUCUUCUAAUUAACACUUAUAAGCAUAGUUUUGAAACCCGACCCGAUGGUCGACCCGGCAUAAUGACCGGGUCACGGGUUAGAUGGUUUGACCCGAGUCAACCCGGUCAACCCAAAAAAAAAACCAGACUGAUUUCCAAAAUUCAAAUAAAAUUCAAACUUUGAAGCUCAUUCUUUUUGUUUGUCAUUUACUGAACCAGAGGCCUACAAAAAACAUCCUCACCCUCCAUAAAACCUCACAUAGUUUGUCAUUAUUAAGUCAAAGCAUUAAAUGCUAGCAUUUAUCUAGGGGCCUCCCUUUUUUUGAAUUCUUCUCCCAGCUCCAUCCGUAUACCACUUUAAAUAAAUUAAAUUAAAACAAUUGAUGAAACAAUUAAGGAAAGGAGUAUUGGGAAAUUCAAAAUUCACACAGUAAUAAUCAAGACUGACCACUUUUCUAAGUUUUCAUAACGUGGCACAUAUCCAUCCCUUCAUUUAUAUUCCAGCUCCCCUCUCAUAUACACGGAUCACUCCCUUUUUCUCUGUCUCUCUAGUUGUUGCUGCUGUUGUGAAGAAGAAGAAAAUGAGCUCUUUUUUUUGUGAAUAUGGCAGUUGAGGUGAGCUCUCUGGUUGAGUGGAUGCACAGAUGAUAGGAACGUUGUGAGCGAACCUGAAGGGGCAAUAUCUUCUUAGAUAUUCCAAGAAAAUGAUUUUGUCAUAAGAAACAGAGUUUUUGAUGCUCAAAAAAAGAUUUUAUAUGUUUUUCACGCCUGUUUAAACUCAUGAUUUUUUCUUCUUUUUGUUUUCUUUGAAUUGACAUUUAAAGGCUUUACAAUUUCUUUCUCUUCGUGCGAAGAUAUCUUUUUAUUAAAUGAUUGGUACUUAAAUGUUUCCUGAUUUACCUUGAAAUCUUCUGCUCUGUUUGAUACCUCAGUUUGGUUUAUGAGAAAAUGUAGAAUAGGAAAUGAGAGUAAAAAACUACGUCGUUUCGCAUCCAUGUAUAUAAAAAAAGAAAGGCCGGGUCUCAACCGGGUUUACCCGGGUCGUCCGGGUUCCGGGUUGACUCGCCGGGUCGACCGGGUUUUACCGGGCCAACUCCCGAGCGGGUUUUUACUUAGACCCGGACCGGUUCCAGGCCCGGGUCGGCGGGUCCCGGGUCAACCCACCGGGCCGGUCCGGUUUUAAAACUAUGCUUCCAAGUUCCAACAUCUAGCAUUGCUUUCAUCUCAUCAAGGUUGUCAAAAACACAUUUUUGACACGACACGGAAAAUAUAAAAUAAACUCGGAUCGUAAAAACGGAUGAAUUGAUAUUAAAAAAUCUAAUUAAAAAUAACACAUAAAAUAAGUCAAGUCAAAUUUGAAAUUGAAAAGAUGAAUUGAUACGUUUUAGGAUAUAAAUUGAAAGAAAUUAUAAGAUUAAAUAUUUUAAUUGAAUGAAAUUGAAAAACUCAAAAGUCAUGGACUGUAAUUAAAAGUAAGAAACAUUCUGAGGAUCAAUUAUCUUAGUUAUAAUUUCAUUUCAGUCCCAUUUGUUUCAUUCACAAUCAAUUCAGUCCAAUUAAAUUGAAACUAAUUCAAUUCAGCCCAUUCAAAGCAUGUUUUCGGUAUGAUUUUUUUCCAAUUGAUUCAAUCUAGUCCAUGAUUCAAAUUAAACCCCAAAUCCCAGCAAAAUAAACCCAGAUUCUAAUCUCCCAAUUCCAUCUCCAGGAAUCAAGUCCUAGAAAUCAUUCAAUACUGCAUUAAUUCCAGAUUUUUUUCUCUCCUACAAAGAAAAGGUGGACACUGGGGAAUUCAAAUGGAAGGAACUAGGGAAAAAAAACCAAGAAACAACAAUAGAGGACCAACAAAGAAGUCUGGAAAUGUUUCCUGAUUUCAACCGACCCAGAGACCUACAUCACCAUAGCCAUCUUUCAAACACAAACCAACACCAUACCCAUCAGAUCGUGAGCUAUCUCCACUAUAUCUCAGCCCUUAUAAACAUCAUCAUCUUCCUUACCUUCCAUUAACCCAAAACAAACAGCACAGGGAGAGGAUACAAAAUAUUGGAAAUUUCAUCCUCUAUUCCUCAUGAACGAAUAUGGAAAUUUCUCGAGUUUCUCCUCCACCCGGUCCCUUCUCUCAUUCAAUCUCCUCAAUAUCGCUCAGAACAACUGGCUUCUUCACUCGUUGAUUCCCAGAUCUAAAAUGCAAACCGAUUGCUUCACGCAUCUAUUCUUCCUGGCUGAUUUGGAGACUUGAAACCUUCACUUUAGCAGUUGUGUGCCUGAAGGUGCCUUUCUUACCUUCUUGCCGAGUUAAGCUACUCACUCACAGUUUUGCGUUUCCUGGUUUGCUUUCUACCUUUGUUUUCGGGUGGUGGGCGGGAGCAGCAGAAGCAUUGAGAUGUUCAGAGAUGCAUGAUUUUGUGUAGACAAUUUUAGGCUUAGAGAUUUAGAUUUUGUUUGUUCUGUGUGUGUGUAUCAGCAGCUGAAAGAAAGAUGAAAGAACGCGCAAAUCGCAAUAGUCAAUGGCCCAAUAACUGCUGGACAACUGGAGGGUGGAUUCAAGGGUUACGAGCAGUAUAUAAUUUCUGUCAAAAUCGUUAUAACGAUCCUAAAAUCGUGUUUUUAUGCGAUUUCACCCGAUUUCAACCCAAUUUCAUUUAUUUUUGAGUUUUUUUAACGAUUUAGUACGUUAAGCCUACAUUAACUCCUAAAAUCAUACAAUUUUAAUAGUCAAAUCACGAUAUUAAUAACCUUGCAUCUCAUGCCAAAGAUCCCAGAUAUUUCAUUUUCAUCUUCAAACUUCAAGCACAAACACAUCCAGCUGCAAUAACUCAGUACUACAAUUACAACAUUCCCAUUCAAGCAAGAAAAACAUCAAGACGUGACUUAUUUUCUUGAUCAAUAAUAUCAAGAAACAAAGGGUCUACGGUUAUAUGACUAUCCACGUGUACAUUAAACCUAUGGCCCCACCACAACAAGCUAGCCGUACCUCCAAUAUCCACCUUAGCGUCAAGCACCAUCUCCCUCUUUGCCACGUCACUGAAAAACUUCACGGAAUGGUUAGUCAUCAGCUCGACCCCAUCAAGCCGGGCCGUGAGCUCAAGAUCUGGCAAGACCUCGAACGCUGAGACCCUGCUUCGACUUGAGCCGAACCGAUGAGAGAGCCGUCGUAGAAGAUCGACAUGAUGGUAGAGGAGUAGUGGAUGGGUACGAUAUUGGGGUUGGUGACGUGUACGGUGAGUAUCACAUCGGUGUCGAUGACUGGAAAUCUGAGCUUGAAGGAAGUGAAGUUGAUUUUGAUCAAAUGAAAUGUUGGGUCUUUUGGCUUGGCACUGAUUAGAGCCACGGCUGCUGUAGCUGAUGCUGCUCCUACUAAAGCGG